GUGCCCGUAGCUCAGCUGGAUAGAGCAUCUGCCUUCUAAGCAGACGGUCGGACGUUCGAAUCGUCUCGGGCACGCCA
RNAcentral lists this transfer RNA (77 nucleotides) under Alphaproteobacteria bacterium CG_4_10_14_0_8_um_filter_53_9. RNAcentral's name for it is "tRNA-Arg". It matches the Rfam family "tRNA". Rfam says of the family: Transfer RNA (tRNA) molecules are approximately 80 nucleotides in length. Their secondary structure includes four short double-helical elements and three loops (D, anti-codon, and T loops). The record is from RNAcentral. Lineage: Bacteria; Pseudomonadati; Pseudomonadota; Alphaproteobacteria.